Molecule: ribosomal RNA, 253 nt
Filed under: uncultured bacterium
Lineage: Bacteria
Description: partial 16S ribosomal RNA
Rfam family: Bacterial small subunit ribosomal RNA
Source: RNAcentral
UACGUAGGUGGCAAGCGUUAUCCGGAAUUAUUGGGCGUAAAGCGCGCGCAGGCGGUUUCUUAAGUCUGAUGUGAAAGCCCACGGCCCAACCGUGGAGGGUCAUUGGAAACUGGGGAACUUGAGUGCAGAAGAGAAAAGCGGAAUUCCACGUGUAGCGGUGAAAUGCGUAGAGAUGUGGAGGAACACCAGUGGCGAAGGCGGCUUUUUGGUCUGUAACUGACGCUGAGGCGCGAAAGCGUGGGGAGCAAACAGG